AGAGUUUGAUCAUGGCUCAGAUUGAACGCUGGCGGCAUGCUUUACACAUGCAAGUCGAGCGGCAGCGCGGGGGCAACCCUGGCGGCGAGCGGCGGACGGGUGAGUAAUGCAUCGGAACGUAUCCCGUAGUGGGGGACAACCCAGCGAAAGCUGGGCUAAUACCGCAUAUGCUCUACGGAGGAAAGCAGGGGACUCGCAAGAGCCUUGUGCUAUGGGAGCGGCCGAUGUCCGAUUAGCUAGUUGGUGGGGUAAAGGCUUACCAAGGCGACGAUCGGUAGCUGGUCUGAGAGGAUGAUCAGCCACACUGGGACUGAGACACGGCCCAGACUCCUACGGGAGGCAGCAGUGGGGAAUUUUGGACAAUGGGGGCAACCCUGAUCCAGCCAUGCCGCGUGCGGGAAGAAGGCCUUCGGGUUGUAAACCGCUUUUGGUCGGGAAGAAAAGGUUCUCCCUAAUACGGAGGACUGUUGACGGUACCGGCAGAAUAAGCACCGGCUAACUACGUG
RNAcentral lists this ribosomal RNA (506 nucleotides) under uncultured bacterium. RNAcentral's name for it is "bacterial SSU rRNA". It matches the Rfam family "Bacterial small subunit ribosomal RNA", at positions 8 to 507 of the family's 1533-position model. The record is from RNAcentral.